GCCAGCUCUCCGCGCGGGAAGCACCUCAUCUGCCUGCUCUGCGCUUGGGGGUCGCUUCUUUGCCGAGGCUGGCUAGCGAGGGCAACCCCGCCGCCUCGAUCUCUCCACUGUCGGGAGCGGGGUUCUAUGCAGCAGAUGAAAUUUCUGGUCUAAUGAACCCUGAUUGAUUGUAUUGAUACCUGGCUUUUUUAGUGUGCACUAGCAUGUGUCUUUGGACUCCAGGACACUUUUACAACUGGAGGGGAAAAAGCAUAAAAGAAUUGAAACCUCAACAUUAAAAUGAUGCUCUGUG
Molecule: non-coding RNA, 292 nt
Organism: Oryctolagus cuniculus (rabbit)
Lineage: Eukaryota; Metazoa; Chordata; Mammalia; Lagomorpha; Leporidae
Source: RefSeq, a predicted model, not a curated record